Molecule: long non-coding RNA, 987 nt
Organism: Prionailurus viverrinus (fishing cat)
Lineage: Eukaryota; Metazoa; Chordata; Mammalia; Carnivora; Felidae
Exons: 3
Source: RefSeq, a predicted model, not a curated record
UAUCUCACCGCUGCGUCGGUGCAGGUUGCCCUCUGUGCUGUAAGGGAGCCGACCGGAUGUGCGAUCCUUGGGGACGCUUUUGUCUUUCAUUCACCGCCUGCUGACCUCCACUGUUUCCAACGGGAAGUCAGCCGUCAGUCUUCAGGCUGUCCGUGUGCCAUCGCUAAGCUCUCUUGGGACCAGACAUGGCCCGGUCCUGUACCAGCAUCUUGCCCCAGUUGUGGACAGAAAUGUUAGUCCCUGAAAAUACCCAGCUGCUGAGUAAACACUGAGAGUGUCUGCACGGGGACUCGACAACUUCCCAUCUGCUGACAGCCUUUGAACACCUGCCCACUCGGGGCUCACGUGGACGCUUCAGCAUUAGGCAAGCCUCAGUUUCCCCACACCGUGGGGGAAGGAUGCUGUCUUCUUCCUCUCGUAUUCAGAGCGCCCUCUGAACCCAGGGCGGGCAGAAAACCCUCUCCGGCUUGUCCCAGGCGAACUGCUGUUCUUCUACUUCCGUCCCCAGCUUCUGGAGUGACGGUCCUACGCGCGGCUGCCUUCUGAGCUCCCCGGGCUCACGCGCCCCCUCCACCCGUGCCCGCACACCGAGGCUCACUCCCUCCCCCCCGGGUCUGGGAGCAGAAGGUGACCGGGUUUUGUCUGAUAAGCGGAUUCCUCUGUUCCCGUAAGCUGGGUGGGUGCCUCGGGGCAGGGAUCGUGACCCCAUCCGGUCUGAAAGCCGCGCAGAGCCCUCGAUGGGUGUCGGCCGCUGCUGUCCUGGUCCGACCCCAGGCUUGUGAACCAACGUCACAGCACAGCCUACUGCCAGAGCUGUUCCCUUGACCGGACAUUCGUGCAGACGGUGGUUACGGGCCCCGCCACGACAGUGCCAGAACAGACCCCCGAAGCACCUGCUCCCCAACCCCAGCCCCCAUGCAUUUGGCAUCCGAGGAAGAAUCACUGCGGAACACGCAGAAAUCUCUCUCUGCUCAGUGUGGCACUCAA